CCCUUAGAUGUUCUGGGCCGCACGCGCGCUACACUGAUAAUGUCAACAAGCUUUACCUUGGCCGAUAGGUCUGGACAAUCUUCGAACUAUUAUCGUGAUGGGGCUAGAUUAUUGCAACUAUUAAUCUUAAACGAGGAAUUCCUAGUAAGCGCGAGUCAUCAGCUCGCGUUGAUUACGUCCCUGCCCUUUGUACACACCGCCCGUCGCUACUACCGAUUGAAUGGUUCAGUGAGAUAAUCGGACAGAAAACUUGGCAACUGGCAACAGUUGACGUGCAUUUUUGGAAGACGAUCAAACUUGGUCAUUUAGAGGAAGUAAAAGUCGUAACA
RNAcentral lists this ribosomal RNA (329 nucleotides) under uncultured eukaryote. RNAcentral describes it as "partial 18S ribosomal RNA". It matches the Rfam family "Eukaryotic small subunit ribosomal RNA", at positions 1470 to 1796 of the family's 1831-position model. The record is from RNAcentral.